UACGGAGGAUGCGAGCGUUAUCCGGAUUUACUGGGCGUAAAGGGUGCGUAGGUGGUUUCUUAAGUCAGAGGUGAAAGGCUACGGCUCAACCGUAGUAAGCCUUUGAAACUGGGAAACUUGAGUGCAGGAGAGGAGAGUGGAAUUCCUAGUGUAGCGGUGAAAUGCGUAGAUAUUAGGAGGAACACCAGUUGCGAAGGCGGCUCUCUGGACUGUAACUGACACUGAGGCACGAAAGCGUGGGGAGCAAACAGG
Molecule: ribosomal RNA, 252 nt
Filed under: uncultured bacterium
Lineage: Bacteria
Description: partial 16S ribosomal RNA
Rfam family: Bacterial small subunit ribosomal RNA
Source: RNAcentral